Molecule: ribosomal RNA, 465 nt
Filed under: uncultured bacterium
Lineage: Bacteria
Description: bacterial SSU rRNA
Rfam family: Bacterial small subunit ribosomal RNA
Source: RNAcentral
CUACGGGAGGCAGCAGUAGGGAAUAUUGGACAAUGGGCGCAAGCCUGAUCCAGCCAUGCCGCGUGAGUGAAGAAGGCCCUCGGGUUGUAAGGCUCUUUUGUCCGGAAAGAAAAGCAUUCGGUUAAUACCCGAGUGUUCUGACGGUACCGGAAGAAUAAGCACCGGCUAACUUCGUGCCAGCAGCCGCGGUAAUACGAAGGGUGCAAGCGUUACUCGGAAUUACUGGGCGUAAAGCGUGCGUAGGUGGUUUGUUAAGUCUGAUGUGAAAGCCCUGGGCUCAACCUGGGAAUGGCAUUGGAUACUGGCAAGCUAGAGUGCGGUAGAGGAUAGUGGAAUUCCUGGUGUAGCAGUGAAAUGCGUAGAGAUCAGGAGGAACAUCCGUGGCGAAGGCGACUGUCUGGACCAGCACUGACACUGAGGCACGAAAGCGUGGGGAGCAAACAGGAUUAGAAACCCCAGUAGUCC